Molecule: ribosomal RNA, 466 nt
Filed under: uncultured bacterium
Lineage: Bacteria
Description: partial 16S ribosomal RNA
Rfam family: Bacterial small subunit ribosomal RNA
Source: RNAcentral
GAUGAACGCUGGCGGCGUGCUUAACACAUGCAAGUCGAACGGAAAGGCCCAAGCUUGCUUGGGUACUCGAGUGGCGAACGGGUGAGUAACACGUGGGUGAUCUGCCCUGCACUUCGGGAUAAGCCUGGGAAACUGGGUCUAAUACCGGAUAGGACCACAUUUUGGAUGGUGUGGUGGAAAGUUUUUCGGUGUGGGAUGAGCUCGCGACCUAUCAGCUUGUUGGUGGGGUAAUGGCCUACCAAGGCGUCGACGGGUAGCCGGCCUGAGAGGGUGUACGGCCACAGUGGGACUGAGAUACGGCCCAGACUCCUACGGGAGGCAGCAGUGGGGAAUAUUGCACAAUGGGCGCAAGCCUGAUGCAGCGACGCCGCGUGGGGGAUGACGGCCUUCGGGUUGUAAACUCCUUUCGCUAGGGACGAAGCGUUAUGUGACGGUACCUGGAGAAGAAGCACCGGCUAACUACGUG